Molecule: ribosomal RNA, 253 nt
Filed under: uncultured bacterium
Lineage: Bacteria
Description: partial 16S ribosomal RNA
Rfam family: Bacterial small subunit ribosomal RNA
Source: RNAcentral
UACAGAGGUCCCGAGCGUUGUUCGGAUUCACUGGGCGUAAAGGGUGCGUAGGUGGUGAGGUAAGUCGGAUGUGAAAUCUCCGAGCUCAACUCGGAAAUGGCAUUGGAAACUACCUUGCUUGAGGGUUGGAGGGGGGACUGGAAUACUUGGCGUAGCAGUGAAAUGCGUAGAUAUCAAGUGGAACACCAGUGGCGAAGGCGAGUCCCUGGACAACUCCUGACACUGAGGCACGAAAGCUAGGGGAGCAAACAGG